GACGAACGCUGGCGGCGCGCCUAACACAUGCAAGUCGAACGAGAGAUGAAGAGCUUGCUCUUCAAAUCGAGUGGCGAACGGGUGAGUAACGCGUGAGGAACCUGCCUCAAAGAGGGGGACAACAGUUGGAAACGACUGCUAAUACCGCAUAAGCCCACGGCUCGGCAUCGAGCAGAGGGAAAAGGAGCAAUCCGCUUUGAGAUGGCCUCGCGUCCGAUUAGCUAGUUGGUGAGGUAACGGCCCACCAAGGCGACGAUCGGUAGCCGGACUGAGAGGGUGACCGGCCACAUUGGGACUGAGACACGGCCCAAACUCCUACGGGAGGCAGCAGUGAGGAAUAUUGCACAAUGGGGGAAACCCUGAUGCAGCGACGCCGCGUGAGCGAAGAGUAUUUCGGUAUGUAAAGCUCUAUCAGCAGGGAAGAAGAAAUGACGGUACCUGACUAAGAAGCACCGGCUAAAUACGUGCCAGCAGC
Molecule: ribosomal RNA, 475 nt
Filed under: uncultured bacterium
Lineage: Bacteria
Description: bacterial SSU rRNA
Rfam family: Bacterial small subunit ribosomal RNA
Source: RNAcentral